AUGAGGAACACACUCUGCCUGCUGCUCUCGCUCAGCCUAAACUGUAUAAAUGGUCAAAGUAUGGAGUCCAUUGAAAGCACAGUUCAGAAGAUGCCUGGAGAUACUUUGAUUCUUUCCUGUCGUGGAUCUGGAUUCAGCUUUGACUGCUGUAGCAUGCACUGGAUCAGACAGCAGGAUGGAAAACCACUCGUGUGGAUGGGACGUGUUCAUCCUAAUGGUGUUCACUGUGUUGAACUGACUCAGCCUGCAUCCAGUGUUGUCAGGCCUGGUGAGGCUUUGACUCUGUCCUGUAAGUCUGGAUAUUCACUGACUGACAGCAGCUACUGCUCUCACUGGAUACGACAGUCUGCUGGAAAACCUCUGGAAUGGAUUGGAUGGAUUUGUAGUAGUGGUAGCACACAAAUCAGUGAAAAACUGAAAAGCACAUUUCAAAUUACCAGAGACACAUCCAGCAACACAUUGACUCUACAAGGACAGAAUAUGAGGACUGAAGACACAGCUGUGUAUUACUGUGCCAGACAGUCACUGUGAUGUAAACCACAAGCACUUCUGUUCAAAAACAUCUCAAAUAAUGUUAACUGAAUGAAUACAAUGUUGACAGGGUAUAGCUAGCUAAUUUUACAUUUAAGAGGUGGUAGCACAGAGCAACAAAUACAGCAAAGACACUGUUGCA
Triplophysa rosa is the source of this 673-nucleotide non-coding RNA. The record is from the annotation of a RefSeq genome assembly. NCBI's taxonomy places the organism in Eukaryota, Metazoa, Chordata, Actinopteri, Cypriniformes, Nemacheilidae.